Molecule: ribosomal RNA, 445 nt
Filed under: uncultured bacterium
Lineage: Bacteria
Description: bacterial SSU rRNA
Rfam family: Bacterial small subunit ribosomal RNA
Source: RNAcentral
UCCAGACUCCUACGGGAGGCAGCAGUGGGGAAUAUUGCACAAUGGGGGAAACCCUGAUGCGGCGACGCCGCGUGAGUGAAGAAGUAUUUCGGUAUGUAAAGCUCUAUCAGCAGGGAAGAAAAUGACGGUACCUGACUAAGAAGCCCCGGCUAACUACGUGCCAGCAGCCGCGGUAAUACGGGGGGUGCAAGCGUUGUCCGGAAUCAUUGGGCGUAAAGCGUUCGUAGGCGGCAAGGUAAGUCUGAUGUUAAAGCCCGGGGCUCAACUCCGGUUCGGCAUUGGAUACUAUCUAGCUAGAAUGUGGUAGAGGUAAAGGGAAUUCCUGGUGUAGCGGUGAAAUGCGUAGAUAUCAGGAGGAACAUCGGUGGCGAAAGCGCUUUACUGGACCAUUAUUGACGCUGAGGAACGAAAGCCAGGGGAGCAAAUGGGAUUAGAUACCCUAGUA